This 422-nucleotide ribosomal RNA is filed under the name uncultured bacterium. Its description in RNAcentral is "bacterial SSU rRNA". It matches the Rfam family "Bacterial small subunit ribosomal RNA", at positions 9 to 421 of the family's 1533-position model. The record is from RNAcentral.
GAGUUUGAUCGUGGCUCAGGAUGAACGCUAGCUACAGGCUUAACACAUGCAAGUCGAGGGGAAACGAUAGGGAAAGCUUGCUUUUCCUAGGCGUCGACCGGCGCACGGGUGAGUAACGCGUAUCCAACCUGCCCAUGUCUGGGGAAUAACCCGUCGAAAGGCGGACUAACUCCCCAUGGUCUCCGAUGAGGACAUCUGAAUUGGAGUAAAGCUUUGCGGACAUGGAUGGGGAUGCGUCUGAUUAGGUAGUAGGCGGGGUAACGGCCCACCUAGCCUACGAUCAGUAGGGGUUCUGAGAGGAAGGUCCCCCCACAUUGGAACUGAGACACGGUCCAAACUCCUACGGGAGCAGCAGUGAGGAAUAUUGGUCAAUGGACGAGAGUCUGAACCAGCCAAGUAGCGUGCAGGAUGACGGCCCUAUG